This is a long non-coding RNA of Rhipicephalus microplus (southern cattle tick), 517 nucleotides long. The record is from RefSeq and is a predicted model, not a curated record. Lineage: Eukaryota; Metazoa; Arthropoda; Arachnida; Ixodida; Ixodidae.
AUGCAAUUAAGAAAUGUGCGCUGUUUAUUUUUCACAUUUGCUCUCUUACAGAAACAUUGGCCAGCCGUUCCUGUUGUGGCCACCAAUGCAGCACAUCUACUAAUCAUGGCGCCUAUGAACAUGAGGCCACCCACAGGAGCAUUCAAGAGAAGGCAAGGCCGUUGCAGUUCAUGCAGCCAUCGCCACCGUCGCCACCACCACUAUGGCCGUGCUCGCCGUUGUCUCCACAAGGGUGGUCAGCAACGCUGCCUUUGCCACCGCCGCAGCACUUAUUACUACCAGAGCCUCCGUCGCCUUCUUCAGAGCAGCCACGGAUGCAGCCAUGCGCAUUGAUGCCACCGGUACCACACCCUGGAACCACUUCAAGUGGUUCUCAAGAACCUACCAGCCAGAUGCCUUCAGCAAGUACAUUGCUGGGAGACCUAGUGAAACGGCACCAAUGGAGAGGUUAAGAAAAAUGAACAGAUUCAUUGCUGAAAUGUUGAACGACCUAAAUAAAUGAGUCGUCAAAACAUUA